This 395-nucleotide ribosomal RNA is filed under the name uncultured bacterium. RNAcentral describes it as "bacterial SSU rRNA". It matches the Rfam family "Bacterial small subunit ribosomal RNA", at positions 505 to 898 of the family's 1533-position model. The record is from RNAcentral.
GUGUCAGCCGCCGCGGUAACACGUAGGGGGCUAGCGUUGUCCGGAAUCAUUGGGCGUAAAGCGCGCGUAGGCGGCCAGAUAAGUCCGGUGUGAAAGUCAAAGGCUCAACCUUUGAAUGCCGCUGGAAACUGUCUGGCUAGAGUCCGGAAGGGGCGAGUGGAACUCCUGGUGUAGCGGUGAAAUGCGCAGAUAUCAGGAAGAACACCUAUGGCGAAGGCAGCUCGCUGGGACGGUACUGACGCUGAGGCGCGAAAGCGUGGGGAGCAAACAGGAUUAGAUACCCUGGUAGUCCACGCCGUAAACGAUGGGCACUAGGUGUGGGAGGUAUCGACUCCUCCCGUGCCGAAGCUAACGCAUUAAGUGCCCCGCCUGGGGAGUACGGCCGCAAGGCUAAA